RNAcentral lists this ribosomal RNA (253 nucleotides) under uncultured bacterium. RNAcentral's name for it is "partial 16S ribosomal RNA". It matches the Rfam family "Bacterial small subunit ribosomal RNA", at positions 524 to 776 of the family's 1533-position model. The record is from RNAcentral.
UACGUAGGUGGCAAGCGUUGUCCGGAUUUACUGGGCGUAAAGAGCGCGCAGGCGGUCGUUCAAGUCGCGUGUGAAAGCCCCCGGCUCAACUGGGGAGGGUCACGCGAUACUGAUCGACUCGAAGGCAGGAGAGGGAAGUGGAAUUCCCGGUGUAGUGGUGAAAUGCGUAGAUAUCGGGAGGAACACCGGUGGCGAAGGCGGCAUCCUGGACCAAUUCUGACACUGAGGAGCGAAAGCCAGGGGAGCAAACGGG